Molecule: ribosomal RNA, 497 nt
Filed under: uncultured bacterium
Lineage: Bacteria
Description: partial 16S ribosomal RNA
Rfam family: Bacterial small subunit ribosomal RNA
Source: RNAcentral
GGUGAACGCUGGCGGCGUGCCUAAUACAUGCAAGUCGAGCGAACAGACGAGGAGCUUGCUCCUCUGACGUUAGCGGCGGACGGGUGAGUAACACGUGGAUAACCUACCUAUAAGACUGGGAUAACUUCGGGAAACCGGAGCUAAUACCGGAUAAUAUAUUGAACCGCAUGGUUCAAUAGUGAAAGACGGUUUUGCUGUCACUUAUAGAUGGAUCCGCGCCGCAUUAGCUAGUUGGUAAGGUAACGGCUUACCAAGGCAACGAUGCGUAGCCGACCUGAGAGGGUGAUCGGCCACACUGGAACUGAGACACGGUCCAGACUCCUACGGGAGGCAGCAGUAGGGAAUCUUCCGCAAUGGGCGAAAGCCUGACGGAGCAACGCCGCGUGAGUGAUGAAGGUCUUCGGAUCGUAAAACUCUGUUAUUAGGGAAGAACAAAUGUGUAAGUAACUAUGCACGUCUUGACGGUACCUAAUCAGAAAGCCCCGGCUAACUACGUG